This 422-nucleotide ribosomal RNA is filed under the name uncultured bacterium. RNAcentral describes it as "bacterial SSU rRNA". It matches the Rfam family "Bacterial small subunit ribosomal RNA", at positions 355 to 774 of the family's 1533-position model. The record is from RNAcentral.
UGAGGAAUAUUGGGCAGUGCCCGCAAGGGUGACCCAGCAACGCCGCGUGGAGGAUGAAUGUCGUAAGAUUGUAAACUCCUGUUAGAGGGGAAGAAUAGUACCGGUUGGACCGGUAUAUGACUGUACCCUCAGAGAAAGCCCCGGCUAACUACGUGCCAGCAGCCGCGGUAAUACGUAGGGGGCAAGCGUUGUCCGGAUUUACUGGGUGUAAAGGGCGCGCAGGCGGGAUAAAAAGUCAGUGGUGAAAUCCUACAGCUUAACUGUAGAACUGCCUUUGAUACUUUCAUUCUUGAGUUCGGGAGAGAGAGACGGAAUUCCAGGUGUAGUGGUGAAAUACGUAGAUAUCUGGAAGAACACCAGUUGCGAAGGCGGUCUCUUGGUCCGACACUGACGCUGAGGCGCGAAAGCGUGGGGAGCAAACA